Molecule: ribosomal RNA, 497 nt
Filed under: uncultured bacterium
Lineage: Bacteria
Description: partial 16S ribosomal RNA
Rfam family: Bacterial small subunit ribosomal RNA
Source: RNAcentral
GACGAACGCUGGCGGCGUGCCUAAUACAUGCAAGUUGAGCGCUGAAGGUUGGUACUUGUACCAACUGGAUGAGCAGCGAACGGGUGAGUAACGCGUGGGGAAUCUGCCUUUGAGCGGGGGACAACAUUUGGAAACGAAUGCUAAUACCGCAUAAAAACUUUAAACACAAGUUUUAAGUUUGAAAGAUGCAAUUGCAUCACUCAAAGAUGAUCCCGCGUUGUAUUAGCUAGUUGGUGAGGUAAAGGCUCACCAAGGCGAUGAUACAUAGCCGACCUGAGAGGGUGAUCGGCCACAUUGGGACUGAGACACGGCCCAAACCCCUACGGGAAGCAGCAGUAGGGAAUCUUCGGCAAUGGACGAAAGUCUGACCGGGCAACGCCGCGGGAGUGAAGAAGGUUGUCGGAUCGGAAAAAUCUGUUGGUAGGGAAGAACGUUGGUGAGAGUGGAAAGCUCAUCAAGUGACGGUAACUACACAGAAAGGGACGGCUAACUACGUG